This 468-nucleotide ribosomal RNA is filed under the name uncultured bacterium. RNAcentral's name for it is "partial 16S ribosomal RNA". It matches the Rfam family "Bacterial small subunit ribosomal RNA", at positions 28 to 507 of the family's 1533-position model. The record is from RNAcentral.
GACGAACGCUGGCGGCGUGCUUAACACAUGCAAGUCGAACGGAAAGGCCCUGCUUUUGUGGGGUGCUCGAGUGGCGAACGGGUGAGUAACACGUGAGUAACCUGCCCUUGACUUUGGGAUAACUUCAGGAAACUGGGGCUAAUACCGGAUAGGAGCUCCUGCUGCAUGGUGGGGGUUGGAAAGUUUCGGCGGUUGGGGAUGGACUCGCGGCUUAUCAGCUUGUUGGUGGGGUAGUGGCUUACCAAGGCUUUGACGGGUAGCCGGCCUGAGAGGGUGACCGGGCACAAUGGGACUGAGAUACGGCCCAGACUCCUACGGGAGGCAGCAGGGGGGAAUAUUGCACAAUGGGCGGAAGCCUGAUGCAGAAACGCCGCGUGCGGGAUGACGGCCUUCGGGUUGUAAACCGCUUUCGCCUGUGACGAAGCGUGAGUGACGGUAAUGGGUAAAGAAGCACCGGCUAACUACGUG